AUCUUUCUAUUAUAGUGUAAGUAUAGGUGACUUCCAAUCACCGGGGCUUGGUUAAAAUCCAAGGAAAGAUA
RNAcentral lists this transfer RNA (71 nucleotides) under Hypoplectrus unicolor (butter hamlet). Its description in RNAcentral is "tRNA-Gly". The record is from RNAcentral. RNAcentral also lists the same sequence under 17 other names. Lineage: Eukaryota; Metazoa; Chordata; Actinopteri; Perciformes; Serranidae.